AAAUUGAAGAGUUUGAUCAUGGCUCAGAUUGAACGCUGGCGGCAGGCCUAACACAUGCAAGUCGAACGGUAACAGGAAGCAGCUUGCUGCUUUGCUGACGAGUGGCGGACGGGUGAGUAAUGUCUGGGAAACUGCCUGAUGGAGGGGGAUAACUACUGGAAACGGUGGCUAAUACCGCAUAACGUCGCAAGACCAAAGAGGGGGACCUUCGGGCCUCUUGCCAUCAGAUGUGCCCAGAUGGGAUUAGCUAGUUGGUGAGGUAACGGCUCACCAAGGCGACGAUCCCUAGCUGGUCUGAGAGGAUGACCAGCCACACUGGAACUGAGACACGGUCCAGACUCCUACGGGAGGCAGCAGUGGGGAAUAUUGCACAAUGGGCGCAAGCCUGAUGCAGCCAUGCCGCGUGUAUGAAGAAGGCCUUCGGGUUGUAAAGUACUUUCAGCGGGGAGGAAGGUGUUGUGGUUAAUAACCGCAGCAAUUGACGUUACCCGCAGAAGAAGCACCGGCUAACUCCGUGCCAGCAGCCGCGGUAAUACGGAGGGUGCAAGCGUUAAUCGGAAUUACUGGGCGUAAAGCGCACGCAGGCGGUCUGUCAAGUCGGAUGUGAAAUCCCCGGGCUCAACCUGGGAACUGCAUUCGAAACUGGCAGGCUUGAGUCUUGUAGAGGGGGGUAGAAUUCCAGGUGUAGCGGUGAAAUGCGUAGAGAUCUGGAGGAAUACCGGUGGCGAAGGCGGCCCCCUGGACAAAAGACUGACGCUCAGGUGCGAAAGCGUGGGGAGCAAACAGGAUUAGAUACCCUGGUAGUCCACGCCGUAAACGAUGUCUACUUGGAGGUUGUGCCCUUGAGGCGUGGCUUCCGGAGCUAACGCGUUAAGUAGACCGCCUGGGGAGUACGGCCGCAAGGUUAAAACUCAAAUGAAUUGACGGGGGCCCGCACAAGCGGUGGAGCAUGUGGUUUAAUUCGAUGCAACGCGAAGAACCUUACCUGGUCUUGACAUCCACAGAAGAAUCCAGAGAUGGAUUUGUGCCUUCGGGAACUGUGAGACAGGUGCUGCAUGGCUGUCGUCAGCUCGUGUUGUGAAAUGUUGGGUUAAGUCCCGCAACGAGCGCAACCCUUAUCCUUUGUUGCCAGCGGUCCGGCCGGGAACUCAAAGGAGACUGCCAGUGAUAAACUGGAGGAAGGUGGGGAUGACGUCAAGUCAUCAUGGCCCUUACGACCAGGGCUACACACGUGCUACAAUGGCGCAUACAAAGAGAAGCGACCUCGCGAGAGCAAGCGGACCUCAUAAAGUGCGUCGUAGUCCGGAUUGGAGUCUGCAACUCGACUCCAUGAAGUCGGAAUCGCUAGUAAUCGUGGAUCAGAAUGCCACGGUGAAUACGUUCCCGGGCCUUGUACACACCGCCCGUCACACCAUGGGAGUGGGUUGCAAAAGAAGUAGGUAGCUUAACCUUCGGGAGGGCGCUUACCACUUUGUGAUUCAUGACUGGGGUGAAGUCGUAACAAGGUAACCGUAGGGGAACCUGCGGUUGGAUCACCUCCUUA
Molecule: ribosomal RNA, 1543 nt
Filed under: Salmonella enterica subsp. enterica serovar Infantis
Lineage: Bacteria; Pseudomonadati; Pseudomonadota; Gammaproteobacteria; Enterobacterales; Enterobacteriaceae
Description: bacterial SSU rRNA
Rfam family: Bacterial small subunit ribosomal RNA
Source: RNAcentral